This 482-nucleotide ribosomal RNA is filed under the name uncultured bacterium. Its description in RNAcentral is "bacterial SSU rRNA". It matches the Rfam family "Bacterial small subunit ribosomal RNA", at positions 19 to 518 of the family's 1533-position model. The record is from RNAcentral.
AUGGCUCAGGAUUAACGCUGGCGGCAUGCCUAAUACAUGCAAGUCGAAUGGGUAGCUUGCUAUCCAUGGCGAACGGGUGAGUAACACGUAGGUAACCUGUACUUCAAAGUCGAGGAUAACCUUUGGAAACGAAGGAUAAUACUGGAUAGGUCGUCAAAAAUCACAUGAUUAACGAUUAAAGAUUAUUAUGUCACUUGAUGAGGGGCCUGCGGCGCAUUAGCUAGUUGGUGAGGUAAAGGCCCACCAAGGCGAUGAUGCGUAGCCGGACUGAGAGGUUGAACGGCCACAAUGGGACUGAGAACGGCCCAUACUCCUACGGGAGGCAGCAGUAGGGAAUUUUCGGCAAUGAGCGCAAGCCCUGACCGAGCAAUGCCGCGUGAAAGAAGAAGUAUUUCGGUAUGUAAAUUUCUUUUAUUUGGGACGAAAAACAAAUUGACGGUACCAAAUGAAUAAGCUCCGGCUAACUACGUGCCAGCAGCGGC